RNAcentral lists this unclassified non-coding RNA (358 nucleotides) under soil metagenome. Its description in RNAcentral is "partial contains 5.8S ribosomal RNA, internal transcribed spacer 2, and large subunit ribosomal RNA". The stretch from base 1 to 120 matches the Rfam family "5.8S ribosomal RNA", at positions 35 to 154 of the family's 154-position model. The record is from RNAcentral.
GAUGAAGAACGUAGCGAAAUGCGAUAAGUAAUGUGAAUUGCAGAAUUCAGUGAAUCAUCGAAUCUUUGAACGCACAUUGCGCCCGUCAGUAUUCUGGCGGGCAUGCCUGUUCGAGCGUCAUUACGCCCCUCAAGUCCCCUGUGGACUUGGUGUUGGGGAUCGGCGAGGCUGGUUUUCCAGCACAGCCGUCCCUUAAAUUAAUUGGCGGUCUCGCCGUGGCCCUCCUCUGCGCAGUAGUAAAACACUUGCAACAGGAGCCCGGCGCGGUCCACUGCCGUAAAACCCCCCAACUUUUUAUAGUUGACCUCGAAUCAGGUAGGACUACCCGCUGAACUUAAGCAUAUCAAUAAGCGGAGGA